UGCAAGUCGAACGAUUAAAGCUCUCUUCGGAGAGUGUAUAGAGUGGCGCACGGGUGAGUAACACGUAAGUAAUCUACCUUUGAGUGGGGAAUAACAGUCGGAAACGACUGCUAAUACCGCAUAAUGCAGCGGCAUCGCAAGAUGACAGUUGUUAAAGGAGCAAUCCGCUUAAAGAGGAGCUUGCGGCAGAUUAGCUAGUUGGUAAGGUAAUGGCUUACCAAGGCUACGAUCUGUAACCGGUCUAAGAGGACGGUCGGUCACACUGACACUGAAUAACGGGUCAGACUCCUACGGGAGGCAGCAGUCGGGAAUUUUGGGCAAUGGGCGAAAGCCUGACCCAGCAACGCCGCGUGAAGGAUGAAGUAUUUCGGUAUGUAAACUUCGAAAGAAUAGGAAGAAUAAAUGACGGUACUAUUUAUAAGGUCCGGCUAACUACGUGCCAGCAGCCGCGGUAAUACGUAGGGACCAAGCGUUGUUCGGAUUUACUGGGCGUAAAGGGCGCGUAGGCGGCAAUUCAAGUCAUCUGUGAAAUCUCCGGGCUUAACUCGGAACGGUCAGAUGAUACUGCUUUGCUAGAGUGCAGAAGGGGCAAUCGGAAUUCUUGGUGUAGCGGUGAAAUGCGUAGAUAUCAAGAGGAACACCUGAGGUGAAGACGGGUUGCUGGGCUGACACUGACGCUGAGGCGCGAAAGCCAGGGGAGCAAACGGGAUUAGAUACCCCGGUAGUCCUGGCCCUAAACGAUGAAUACUUGGUGUCUGGAGUCAUUAUUGCUCCGGGUGCCGUCGCUAACGUUUUAAGUAUUCCGCCUGGGGAGUACGCACGCAAGUGUGAAACUCAAAGGAAUUGACGGGGACCCGCACAAGCGGUGGAGCAUGUGGUUUAAUUCGACGCAACGCGAAGAACUUACCUGGACUAGAAUGUGAGGGAAUG
RNAcentral lists this ribosomal RNA (930 nucleotides) under uncultured Acidobacteriaceae bacterium. RNAcentral's name for it is "bacterial SSU rRNA". It matches the Rfam family "Bacterial small subunit ribosomal RNA", at positions 56 to 997 of the family's 1533-position model. Lineage: Bacteria; Pseudomonadati; Acidobacteriota; Terriglobia; Terriglobales; Acidobacteriaceae. The record is from RNAcentral.